RNAcentral lists this ribosomal RNA (403 nucleotides) under Verrucomicrobiota bacterium. RNAcentral describes it as "Verrucomicrobia bacterium partial 16S ribosomal RNA". It matches the Rfam family "Bacterial small subunit ribosomal RNA", at positions 355 to 776 of the family's 1533-position model. The record is from RNAcentral. Lineage: Bacteria; Pseudomonadati; Verrucomicrobiota.
UGGGGAAUAUUGCACAAUGGGGGAAACCCUGAUGCAGCGACGCCGCGUGAGCGAAGAAGGUUUUCGAAUCGUAAAGCUCUGUCCUAUGAGAAGAUAAUGACGGUAUCAUAGGAGGAAGCCCCGGCUAAAUACGUUCCAGCAGCCGCGGUAAUACGUAUGGGGCGAGCGUUGUCCGGAAUUAUUGGGCGUAAAGGGUACGUAGGCGGUCUAUUAAGUCAGGUGUGAAAGCGUGAGGCUUAACCUCAUUAAGCACUUGAAACUGAUAGACUUGAGUGAAGGAGAGGAAAGUGGAAUUCCUAGUGUAGCGGUGAAAUGCGUAGAUAUUAGGAGGAAUACCGGUGGCGAAGGCGACUUUCUGGACUUUUACUGACGCUCAGGUACGAAAGCGUGGGGAGCAAACAGG